Molecule: transfer RNA, 75 nt
Filed under: Alphaproteobacteria bacterium
Lineage: Bacteria; Pseudomonadati; Pseudomonadota; Alphaproteobacteria
Description: tRNA-Met
Rfam family: tRNA
About the family: Transfer RNA (tRNA) molecules are approximately 80 nucleotides in length. Their secondary structure includes four short double-helical elements and three loops (D, anti-codon, and T loops).
Source: RNAcentral
GGCGGGGUAGCUCAGCGGUAGAGCAGGAGAAUCAUAAUCUCUUGGUCGGGGGUUCAAAUCCCUCUCCCGCCACCA